Molecule: non-coding RNA, 1796 nt
Organism: Manis javanica (Malayan pangolin)
Lineage: Eukaryota; Metazoa; Chordata; Mammalia; Pholidota; Manidae
Source: RefSeq, a predicted model, not a curated record
GCGGGCUGCAGAGCUGGGACCGCGUGACGGCGUUGCUUAAACAGUAAGUCUGAGUCCUUUGGAGGAAACAGAGAUGGAGGCAGAUUGGCGACAUUAACAGUGGAAAGAAUUAUUUCCUGCAAAGUGAAAACACCACCAAGCUUCAUUGCAUUGAAGACUUGAGACAAUCAACUUCAUUCUGUGUCCUCAAAAGUUUUAGCAAGUCAGCAGCUAUUGAGCUGUCAGAGAGGCUGUCAUUCCCUAGAUCUCACACUUGGUAAUCGAGGGACAGCAACCCAUGUCUUCCUGAGCCUACUUCACUAUCUUACACCUCAGGCCUGGUCAGACAGCGGCUUGCUAUGGGUUACCUAAUGAAGGCCUGAUGUCUGAGAUAUUUAUGCCUCAUAUCUUUUUCUUGCCUUUUUUCACUGGCAAGCAUCCCAUACCAAGUUGAGGACAGUGGAGCUUGCUUGCCUGAUAGUCAUCUGAGGGAAACUACUCGAGCUAUUCUUCCAAGACCAGGAAAGAUCAUCUAAAGUGAAUCAACUGUGUUGAAUAUGAACCAAAACUACAUACUACAGACAAGUAAUGGAUGCAAAGAUAUUAGACUUUCAAACUCAGCUAUUCAACGCCAUUCUUUGCUGUAUAUGGCUGCCCUGCCAGCCACCACGGCCUGGCAAGGCCAAAUGGCUCUGCACCAUUCUUGCUGCAAUGUGGACCCUGAGUGUACUCCAUCCUCACAUGACUCCCUCUUCAGCCAGAAUCCCACUCCAGCUGGAAUGCUUUUGGAUAAAAUAUGUGAUACAAUUGUGGCAAAUGAAACAUUGAGGAGUUUUGCUACAAUGUCCUAUUCCUGAGCUAUUCCUCACCUUUUAAAAGCACACAUGUGACUUCAUGGUUGCUGUUGCGUUACCUCAUCUGAGUCAUCUCAGUGGGCACAAAUUCAAGAAGAUGCCUGUGCUGCUCAGAAGGUGGGAUGGUGUGAGGUCAAGAGCUAUAAAAUUUACUUGGCAGUGUCUGAUAAUCUAAUCUGAUGAUGAAGGAUGUGGAAGAAGAAAACUUGAAGUAUUGAUGUCAAGGAAGAUUGGAGAAGAGAUUAAUGAAUGGCCUAUUCAAAAUCACCCCAAAACCUGCAAAUAUUAAUUCUUAUCAGAAGGAUCCCAAAGAUUCUGUUUUUGGAUAUUGGUUAAUCUCCUUUUUGCAGCUGACUCAGUGCACUAAUGAACAACAUUGUAAGAAGGCAGAAAUAUAGUUACACAUGGGUUCAACAAUAUGGGUGUCUGCACCCAGGAUGACUUCAUUAUACAGUGCAUGGAGUGCACAAUUUAUCAACAGUGAGUAACAUUAGAUACCGUUUAUGGUUUAAUAUACAUUAGGACUUGGUGGCAAGAUAAUUAUAUUGGUCCAUUUCAUGGUAAAGGAGAAGUAAUUUGUAUUCCCCAGAGUAAACUUGCAUUUUGAAUUUAAUUAUCUUUCCUUGCUAUUCAUGCCUAUGCUCAAACAACCAUAUAUAGGUAUCCCAAGUAGCUUACAUACUGUGAUGGUAUCCCACAGAACCUGCCUGCAGACAAGGCACUAUGUAAAGCAAGGCGAUGAGACUAUUGACCAUGCAACAUAUAUGUAUAUGUCUUCAAGGUGUAGCUUAAGUCUCAUUUUUUUCAUCAAGUCUUCUUGAAUAUAUAUCUUUGAAAAUUAUUACCUCUUCUGAAUUCAUAGCCCUUACAUUUUUAAUAUCAUUCAAAUUAUCUUAGCACUUACUAUCUUGUUCUGUCAUUCAGCCUUUCAUGUGUGUGUCCUGCUUCAUUAUUAAAUUUAAG